This 528-nucleotide ribosomal RNA is filed under the name Pezizomycotina sp. RNAcentral describes it as "SSU rRNA". It matches the Rfam family "Eukaryotic small subunit ribosomal RNA", at positions 34 to 566 of the family's 1831-position model. The record is from RNAcentral. Lineage: Eukaryota; Fungi; Ascomycota.
GUCUCAAAGAUUAAGCCAUGCAUGUCUAAGUAUAAGCAAUUAUACCGCGAAACUGCGAAUGGCUCAUUAUAUAAGUUAUCGUUUAUUUGAUAGUACCUUACUACUUGGAUAACCGUGGUAAUUCUAGAGCUAAUACAUGCUAAAAAUCCCGACUUCGGAAGGGAUGUAUUUAUUAGAUUAAAAACCAAUGCCCUUCGGGGCUCACUGGUGAUUCAUGAUAACUCCUCGAAUCGCAUGGCCUUGUGCCGGCGAUGGUUCAUUCAAAUUUCUUCCCUAUCAACUUUCGAUGUUUGGGUAUUGGCCAAACAUGGUUGCAACGGGUAACGGAGGGUUAGGGCUCGACCCCGGAGAAGGAGCCUGAGAAACGGCUACUACAUCCAAGGAAGGCAGCAGGCGCGCAAAUUACCCAAUCCCGACACGGGGAGGUAGUGACAAUAAAUACUGAUACAGGGCUCUUUUGGGUCUUGUAAUUGGAAUGAGUACAAUUUAAAUCCCUUAACGAGGAACAAUUGGAGGGCAAGUCUGGUG